RNAcentral lists this long non-coding RNA (6911 nucleotides) under Equus asinus (donkey). RNAcentral describes it as "lncRNA (ENSEASG00005034856.1)". The record is from RNAcentral. Lineage: Eukaryota; Metazoa; Chordata; Mammalia; Perissodactyla; Equidae.
GGACAUGUACAAUUCUGUGGUAUUGAGGACAUUCACACAGUUCUGCAACCAUCACCACCAUCCAUCUCCAGAACUUUUUCACUUUCCCAAACUCAACCUCUGAGCCCAUUAAACACUAAUGCACUGAUCCGGCUCUCCCCAGCCUCUGGCAACCACGGAGCCUCAUCUGAUUUUAACAUUCAAAGACCAAGCCUCACUCUCACUUUCAGGGUAAAGUACCUUCAUCUGCUAAACUCCCCUCCUGAGAAAAGACUGCCCAGGUAAAGCAGGCAGGAGCUGGAGUUUUAUAGAGCUGAGAGACAGGUCGAGGGGGCAAUUUUGGACAAUCAGAAGAUGAGAGGUGGGGGCGUGGGAGUGGGAGGAGAUUCUGAAAUAGAGAUGGGAAGGCAACGUAACUGCUUGCUUUGAAGUUUGGCCCGGGGCCUUGGGAGCAGUCGGUGCGUUCAGGUGCAAGGACUACUAAUCGUAAACUUCCACUCCUUUCAGUUCAAUGCUGAUUGCCUCUGGCUGCUAAGAGGCACGCGCCCAUGUGCGCGCGCACACACAAAGACAGUAGGAAGGAAGGGUGGCAAGGAAGAGAUAUAGAAACUUAAACGUCAGAGACUCAGGCCUCCCAGGAACCAAAUGCAGGAAUUUCCUUCACAAUACUCUUGACAGCUGGCCAUGCAGCACCUGUCCGAACACAUCCAAAGACAGGGGGACAACGGAGCCCUGACAUUCCAGAGAAGAACAUCCAGACAGCUUCAUAAAUCCCCAACCCCAUAAAUACAGAAAGAGUUGUAGAGCCUUCAGGCUUUUUCCUGAUUUUUUUUUUUCAAAUGCCUGACCCCCCCCCCCACUGCAAGUUAACCCCCUUUGUAACUUUCUCCAAAACUAUCUCACCAGAAAAAAUUUUGUCCUGGCUCAAGCAACUGCUAAAACUUUCAUGAACUUCCUUGUUUCCUGUGAAGCAUAUGGUGGCCUUAUUCCCACCACAGCCAAAUUUAUCAUUCUAGUCUCUCAUUCACCCAAACUCCUUUUUCUUUUUUUCUGGCUAAGACCUAGCCCUUCUUCAGACAUCUUGGCUUUUUCUUUCCUAACAUCUUCAUACGAGCAGCUCGUUAGUUAAGAGUUACAACUGAGCUGCAACUCAAGUCUGUACCUCAGCACAAUUACAAAUUACUACCUGUCAGGAACUUUAGGGAUGGCUUAAAGCUCUCAAAAAAAUCAGGGCAGUGUUAAAUCUGCAAAUUCUAAGUAUAUACUGUCUAUGUGGCUUUUUUUCCCUCCUCCUUCCCUCUAUUAACAGCAGCAUCCCACAUACUCUCAGGAUUUAUAGAACAAGUAACAAAAGCAUCUACUGUUAAAUACGUUUGCCCAUCUUCCCACCCAAUGUAGCCAGGAAAACCAUUUAGAACGACCUUGGAAGGUGAAUGUGGAAUCUGAUGGAGGGCUGGAAGGAGUACAUGAAUAGGAAAGAAGUGAAAGAAACAACAGGUAGCCAGGGGCUUUGGGCUGAUCUGGUUAAACGGUGCUGCCGUCCAAGGGCCCUGGGCUCCGGGGGCAGAGAACAGAGGGAGGUAAAAAACGAGACAGGCUGGAAGGAAGAGAGGUGGAGCUAAUUUCAAAAUAUCACAGGAAGACAGCCCUGCCCAUGCCCUCACCAGCUGUCCUUUAAUUACUCAAAUCUGCAGCUAAUGUUCCUUCUACUACCUUGAAUCUCACCAGCCGGAGGGACUUGUGUCAGCAAAGUCAAGUCCUCUGAGAAGCUGGGCUGGUGGUAAUUAAAAAAGAGGGGAGGAUCAAGAUGAGAAAGGAAAAUCACAGAUUAUAAGCUGGAAGCAGACCCUGGCCAAAAAUCUGGAAGAAUUCUUUAUUUCACAGGACUGUUGUAAGGAGCUAGUGAGAAUGCAGAUGAAGGUGUUCUGCAAAUAAAGUUCUACAGUGGCCCCCCCCAUCCAAGGUUUCAAUUUCCGCAGUUUCAGUUACCCACGGUCAACCGCAGACGUCAUCUGCCCCUGACAUCCAGUCAUCCACAGUGUCAUGGCCAGAUGAUCCUCCUUCAGGGGAAUGGUCAGAAGGUCAAUAGUAGCCUAAGGCUACGUCACAAUGCCCAUGUCAUUCACCCCACUUGAUCUCAUCACAUGGGCACUGUAUCCUCUCACAUCAUCACAAAAAGGGUGAGAACAGCGCAAUAAGAUAUUUUGAGAGAGACAGACCACAUUCACAUAACAUUUAUUAAAGUAUAUUGCUAUAAUUAUUCUAUUGGGUUAUUACUUAUUAUUAUUUAUUACUAGUUAUUGUUGUUAAUCUCGUGCUGUGCCUACUUUAUAAAUUAAACUUUAUCAUAGGUCUGUGCAGGAAAAGAUACUAUAUAGAGGGUUUGGUACUAUCCGCGGUUUCAGGCAUCCGCUGGGGGUCUUGGAACGUAAGCCCCAUGGAUGAGGGGGAUACUGCAUACAAACAUGCUACUAUUAAAGAGCCUGACGACGAGCAAGAGUCGGAAAGUGGGGCUUUUGACGGCUCAGCACCACUUCUUCAGAAAGUGACAUCUAAGUAACUUCAUGUCUUUCUUCAAAAGUAAAAGUGGCAGUUUGGGGAAAGGUGGCAUACCUGGCUUAUCUGACUUCACAAGGAAAGCUUUCAAUGAGAUUUCAAUGUGGACAAGACGGAGACCUGAGGGCUGGAGAAGGUGAACCGCUAAGUGGCCAAACCAACAUGGGUGCAAAGUGCGGAUUAUUGGACGAAUAUUCAUCCAGAAGGCAGUUUCACUCUGUGUUCUAAACAAGUCUAUUCUGGUCAUGUUCAGCUCAACAUUAUUCUUAAUUCCCUUGAAAAAAGAUAUCGGGGAAUAUUAUAAACACGUACAGAUAUCACAAAACUAGGAGAAGACAAGUAAACGUUAUAAUCAGCCGUGCAAAUGCAAUAUUCAGAAUUUUUAUGAACUGUUUGCAUUUAAUCUCCAUACAGUAAAGCCAAGGCCUUAAACUGGUGAGCUGCAAAUGGGCUUUGUUUGGCUUACCCAAUGUUAAGAAAAAAAAUUUAGAUUGGCUAACAUGUAAAAAUUAGCUGGUUUCACAUAAAAAUCCAGAUUUUAAGCUUGAAAAAGCAGAAGACCUCAUUCCUGCAGGACAACAUCAGCUGGAGGGAGUGCUGCCUUCUCCCUUGGAUGGGCGUGGCCAUCCAUUUUGGGCACCCACAUGGCCCAGUUCACUCCACUUCACCUGCCUGGCCUCCUACUGGCAUUUGAGUUGGUGACUCCUGCAGUAAAUUAUUAGUUCAGAUUACUAAAUGUGUCCAAUUUACUGUAAAUUUUAUUUGAUUGUGCAUUAAACUCCAAUUCAAUCUUCUCCCUUGCAGGUUUUGCUCUUGCAAGAAGACCCAACAUCUGAUCACAAUGUCAUAAUUAUAACCCGUACAUUCAGAACAUCUCAGUUUUUCAGUGUGCUUUCCGAUCGUUUGAUUUAUUUGAUCAUCUCAAUGUUCUAGAAAGUCUAGGCUUAUUUUAUAAGAAAGAUCAACUAGUUAACAGGGACCAAAGGUAAGAUUUCAAUUCAGGGCUUGGGUUAAACCUUAAUCUACCAUUUCCCACCCCUACCAUGCACCCCUCAAUCCCCAAAGACAGCCCUCAUCCCAGGCUUUCCCAACCGGAGGAGAUGUGAAUCCAGAUUGCAAAGCCACUGGCUGCUCUGGAAAGAAGACGGUAUUUGGAAUCCUUGCUUUACUUCCCUUUUUAAUCUUCUAAAAAAAAACUGUAUAGUGUCUAAUCCAAAGACAGCUGAUUCUCAUUUACACUUAACCUGUGCUGAACUCACAUACUAAAUUUUAAAGCUCUGCUCUGGAAAAGGCAUUUUGCUCUUUAAGAUCUCCUUGGUAACACUCGUAAUUGGUAUCUAGGCUACAAAAAAAAAAGUUUGGAACCAAUCAGUGACUGGAGUUAGAAUAAAAUCCAAUUGGAAAUCCAGCUCAGGAAAGUUCCAGGAUGACAGCUGUGUAGCAGACUUCGAGAACAACCUGUCCAGAAUAGAGGAAGACUGGAAAAGUCCCAGGAAAGGGGGACUCUGCAAGAUUGUCAACUAUACACAGAGGAUGAAUUUCAACCUGCACACAAAGCACGAAUCACAGUUACGUAACAGAAUGUAAACAUCACCAACUGUGACAAGAUCACAAAGCACUGGACGCCUGAGUACAACAGUGACAUAAAAGCACAUUGACACUAAUAAUCACCAGGACUUUAUCUGCAAUGGGCCAGAGCUGCAGGACUACUGGGGACUCGAUAUGGAGAGGAAGGAUACACCUGACAGCUUACUCUGGGCUCUGUGUGCAUGAAUGACUGCCUAAGAGAUCGUACUCAUUCACUUUCCUGGACACUACGGGCUUCCCACGCAUUGAGCUAAUUUUGUAUAGUGCAUGUCCCAUGUACCAGACACUGUGCUAUAUGCUGGGACAACAAGCACUGGGAAUACGUAUUUUUAAAAGCUCCCCAGGUGACUCUGAAUAUCAGCCAGGGUUGAAAAUGACCACUUGGUGUUUCACAGGGAACAAGCUCUGUGGUAAACCUAACAGAACUGGGGUCCCAACAUCACCCCCCACCUCUCCCCGCUGCUCUCUGAGGUUGAGAACUGUAUUCCCUACAAUAAUAUGGAACUCACACUCAAAACAGGAGGAGCAGAGACCGAGUCUUCCUCUUCCCUCCACCAGGCUCCUUAGCUGCAGCCCCACCGCCCUUCCUCAAUCUGGAAAGGGCAGCAAAGUGAGGGAGUGUAUCCCCCGGAAGCCUGGGGACCCUGCCUGAUCUCUGGCCUGGGAGCAGUUGGGGCUAGCACAGCCAGACAUCAUCCAUCCUUCACCCCAGGGUGCAGGCCUCAGACGUCCAACACCUCAUGACAACAGCCAUUUGGCCAGCAGCUUCUGGGAGGAUAAUGCUGAGGCCAAAACUCAACAGGCAGAAGUAACUUGCCCCAAGUAUUGGUCCUGCUUGGAGGCAAAACAAUCAGUAGGUUGAUGACAGCCUGAUGCUUGAGAAAUCAUUUUUUUAAAAAGACGGGGGGGGGGGGGGGGUGGGGGGGGUUGAAGAUUGCUUAAAAGCAGCCCUUUAACUCAGAAGGCAGUUCCAUCCACCUUACAAAUUCAAUGCCCUCUGAAUACACAUCUAUCUGUCACAGCAGGGAAUCUUUUAACUAGCAAAAGAGCAAGAGAAGGAAUUCAGAUCAACAUCGCGGGCUGUAGCAAUAAAGCCCUGCCGUGGAUUCACCCCUUUCCCUCGAGGCAGGAAAGAAUCAAGGAAGAAUUUCAAAAUCUUUUUAUACAAUUAAAGAAAGGGAUUUGGUGGGAGAAGGGAGCAAGGAGGACAAGAUCAAGAAUGUAAGGUUUGCUAUUUUAAGCUCAAAAUAAAUCAUGAUAAGAAAGGACUAGAAGGUUUGAUUUUAUUUCUCAGAUCUUCUCCAUGGCAGGAACAGUAUCUGGUGUUUGGGGGAGGGGGGGGCAAACUGUCAGGCCAGCAUCAGUCUUUUCACCCCCUCAUCCAGUUCCCCCAAAAUAAAACCAGUCUGUCGUGUGCUUCCAGAAUUUUACAAUCUUGAAUUACGGCUUUGAAAUAAUUCGGAUUCCACUAUAACAAAUCUCAGAGAUAUGAGGCAGGCUACAAAGAAAAUCCAGCAAAAUAUAUCCAAAGAACUGUAUCCAAGAUGGUAGCAGGAAAAAGAACCAGACAAUAUGAUAAAUUUGGCACACGAGGACCAGCGAAUGACGUACCAAACCAGUAAAGACAGCUCCCUAAGAAAUACACAUUCACGGGGCCGGCCCCGUGGCCGAGUGGUUAAGUUUGUGUGCUCCGCUGCGGCGGCCCAGGGUUUGGAUCCUGGGCACGGACAUGGCACCACUCAUCAGGCCACGUUGAGGCGGCGUCCCACAUCCCACAACUAGAAGGACCUGCAACUAGGAUAUACAACUGUGUACAGGGGGGGUUUGGGGAGAUAAAGCAGGAAAAAAAGAAAAAGAUUGGCAACAGUUGUUAGCCCAGGUGCCAAUCUUUAAAAAAAAAAAAGGAAAUACACAGUCACUAUUUCCCAAAACUAUUUUAGAACCCACUCUUGUCAACCAUUACUUUCUAGAAGCCUAACUUUUACAACAUCCAAUCCUUGAUCAUUUAUGAUACAAAAGAAAACAAAAGCGGGUGGAACCAUAGUACUGUGCAUUAUAAAAAACAUUUCCUUGAGAGAACCAAAGUUCUGAAGAUACAUACAUCAGUCAGCUGCUUGGCAACUUUAAGGUCGACACCUGUGGGGAUCGACAGACAGCCCAGGUGUGGGUUGUUUUUAUCACUUCGCUUCAUCAGUGUACUUCUACAUUUUGGCUUGGCCCUGUCAGAUCUUUUCUUCUCUCAAACCAGUGAGAAAAGUGUACAUAUGCUAAUAUAUGUUAAUAUACAGUCGCACGCUGCAUAAGGACACUUUGGGACCACAUAUACGAUGACGGUGGUCCCAUGAGAUUAGUCCCAGAUAGGCUAGGUGUGCAGUGGCUCUACCACCUAGGUUUGUGUAAGUACACUCUGUGAUGUUCGCACAACAACAAAAUUGCCCAAGGAUGCAUUUCUUAGAACGUAUCCCGUCGUUAAGCGACACAUGACCGUGCACACACAUAUACAUGUUUAUAAAAUGGAUCUCAACCCCCCAAAAACCUUCUUUACCUCUUUUCAGAUUUAAAAGCUUAUCACUCACUUCAUUUGAACUCUCUUAACAAUCACAAAGUUGGAGACCAGUGUUGUAACCACAGCACUCAGGAACUAGACUGUAGUUUUUAUUGCCUAUUCUCUGUUGAGAUGCCCAAGUUCUCUUUUUGAAGACAUGUGUGGUUAAAUCCAGCAUCUUUUUUAAUAAAUACAUUUCUUUAAAUGUAAGCCAGGGGGUGUCUGUCAGCUGUGGGGAAACAAA